GUCCACGCCGUAAACGAUGUCAACUAGCCGUUGGGAGCCUUGAGCUUUUAGUGGCGCAGCUAACGCAUUAAGUUGACCGCCUGGGGAGUACGGCCGCAAGGUUAAAACUCAAAUGAAUUGACGGGGGCCCGCACAAGCGGUGGAGCAUGUGGUUUAAUUCGAAGCAACGCGAAGAACCUUACCAGGCCUUGACAUCCUAUGAACUUUCCAGAGAUGGAUUGGUGCCUUGGGAGCAUAGAGACAGGUGCUGCAUGGCUGUCGU
RNAcentral lists this ribosomal RNA (262 nucleotides) under uncultured bacterium. RNAcentral's name for it is "partial 16S ribosomal RNA". It matches the Rfam family "Bacterial small subunit ribosomal RNA", at positions 793 to 1055 of the family's 1533-position model. The record is from RNAcentral.